UGGUUUAGAAGUGUGAGUCCAGUCAC
RNAcentral lists this non-coding RNA (26 nucleotides) under Mus musculus (house mouse). The record is from RNAcentral. Lineage: Eukaryota; Metazoa; Chordata; Mammalia; Rodentia; Muridae.